UAAGGUGACUGCCGGUGACAAACCGGAGGAAGGUGGGGAUGACGUCAAAUCAUCAUGCCCCUUAUGACCUGGGCUACACACGUGCUACAAUGGAUGGUACAAAGGGCAGCGAAGCCGCGAGGUGGAGCCAAUCCCAUAAAACCAUUCUCAGUUCGGAUUGCAGGNUGCAACUCGCNUGCAUGAAGCCGGAAUCGAUAGUAAUCGCGGAUCAGCAUGCCGCGGUGAAUACGUUCCCGGGCCUUGUACACACCGCCCGUCACACCACGAGAGUUUGUAACACCCGAAGUCGGUGGGGUAACCGCAAGGAGCCAGCCGCCUAAGGUGGGACAGAUGAGUGGGGUGAAGUCGUAACAAGGUAGCCGUAU
This 365-nucleotide ribosomal RNA is filed under the name uncultured Caryophanales bacterium. RNAcentral describes it as "bacterial SSU rRNA". It matches the Rfam family "Bacterial small subunit ribosomal RNA", at positions 1141 to 1505 of the family's 1533-position model. The record is from RNAcentral. Lineage: Bacteria; Bacillati; Bacillota; Bacilli; Caryophanales.